UUUACUCAAAGCGAAUAGUACUACGGGUGAAAGACAGACGGAGAGAGGGAUGAAUAAGAAAUUUGGAGGGAAGCAGGCGACGGGAACUCCGUCGUUGGCAUGGUCGUGUGUCGUUGUCAUUGUGUCGCUUCUCGCUGGCGCUUCUGUUGUGCAUAAUAUAUUCAAGCCUGAUUUGACAAUGCCUCCUGGAAGCACACAUGGGACUGAGCAGGAACAAGUAGAGAAGACAUGAGUUCCAAAACUGGAGCACCAUGAAACUGGCAUUAUAUUUUUUCCUUUUGAAUUACUUGUAAUGCUUGAACCCUAUUUUCCAAGCUAAAGGAAAGGGCAUUCCCUUAUUUCGCAUGACUGUACAAUUCAAUUAACUAUUAGAGCAUGACAACAAUUUUUGUUUGCAGA
This is a long non-coding RNA of Olea europaea var. sylvestris, 399 nucleotides long. RefSeq lists it as uncharacterized. Lineage: Eukaryota; Viridiplantae; Streptophyta; Magnoliopsida; Lamiales; Oleaceae. The record is from RefSeq and is a predicted model, not a curated record. The transcript has 2 exons.